Molecule: ribosomal RNA, 372 nt
Filed under: Triticum aestivum (bread wheat)
Lineage: Eukaryota; Viridiplantae; Streptophyta; Magnoliopsida; Poales; Poaceae
Description: partial small subunit ribosomal RNA
Source: RNAcentral
AUGGGGAUACACUGUAAUUCUAGGGGCAGAAAUCAGGCUAGAUCAUCUGCAACUACAUCUAAUGACAAAGGAACAGACACCCAGGCCGGCAGAAAUAAAAUUGAUAGGGCUAACCACCGCUGCAACUAUAACUUCCCCUACCUCUAUAUCUACAUCAGAAUAAACAACCUACGCCUACCUCCACAUCUACAAGCAUGGGAGAAUAUGACCACAACAAGCAGAUGGAUUAGAACCCCCACAUACAACAAGCUCCUAGAUAACUCAGGCGAGCAGAAGGAUGGGAAAUGGAGCGCUAGGCAUGGCGGACUAGAAACAAACACGGCAGCAACAUGCACCUACCACGGAUCCACGGACAACAUCAAGAACAGAUGA